CCAGUGUUAUGAAUCCCACAUCUCCCAGGGAGAUGCCAGAACUCGCUGCCUUGCCCUCUUCAUAACUGGGGCUUAGUUUUUCAGUUGCCCCUGAGCCAGACUUGAUCUCAGGAGCUGGUGAUACAGAUGUUAAGUAUGCUGAGCUCUCUCCCCAACCUGUCCCUCUGCCGGGGCUGGCAUGGACACUCAUGAUGGUGGCAAAUCACUGCAGGGUGCACACUGGGGUUUCCUCAUGAGACCAGCUCUGGGUGAUGUGCCAGUUUCUAGGAGCUUAGCCUGGGACCCAGCCUCCUAGCCCUCCCAGGAAUCCUCCAGCCAACAUCCUAGAAGUCUUUUUAAUCAGCAGUCGGCUUCUGUUGCUGGCAACCUGGAAUCCUGUCUGAAGGGAACAUGACAUUGUAAUUUUUAUUCUGGAACUCAUCCUGAAUUAUCCACCUCAUUUUUAAAAGAUGGCUUCGAAACAUAUUGUAACUGCUUUCUUUUGAUGGAUCAAGUUCAUGUUAGGAAAAGCAGUGAGUUACAAGGAUCCCCUACCAUCCACAUCUAGUCAGUUCUGGAGCUUACACAGUGGGAGCUCAGAAGGGAACUGAAAGAGAACAAGAGAGAAGAUGGCAGGAAAGCAGCAGCAUGAAGUCAAUAUCAGAUCCUCCUUCCCUGGCCUCGCCUCAGGGUCUUUCCCUCCACAUCUGUUCCCAGGCCUGAAGGAAGGAACUCGAGAACCCACCCCAGCCACUCACCCUGUUGACGCCAAGUGAAACUCUGUUUUGAGUGUCCACACCUCUCCCAGAUAACUCAGUGGUAAAGUCUAAGCCGAUGGAA
Felis catus (domestic cat) is the source of this 819-nucleotide long non-coding RNA. RefSeq lists it as uncharacterized. Lineage: Eukaryota; Metazoa; Chordata; Mammalia; Carnivora; Felidae. The transcript is spliced from 2 exons. The record is from RefSeq and is a predicted model, not a curated record.